AUACGUAGGGGGCUAGCGUUGUCCGGAAUCAUUGGGCGUAAAGCGCGUGUAGGCGGUCCGGUAAGUCCGCUGUGAAAGUCGGGGGCUCAACCCUCGGAUGCCGGUGGAUACUGUCGGGCUUGAGUACGGAAGAGGCGAGUGGAAUUCCUGGUGUAGCGGUGAAAUGCGCAGAUAUCAGGAGGAACACCAAUUGCGAAGGCAGCUCGCUGGGACGUUACUGACGCUGAGACGCGAAAGCGUGGGGAGCAAACA
This 252-nucleotide ribosomal RNA is filed under the name uncultured prokaryote. Its description in RNAcentral is "partial 16S ribosomal RNA". It matches the Rfam family "Bacterial small subunit ribosomal RNA", at positions 523 to 774 of the family's 1533-position model. The record is from RNAcentral.